CUCAUACAAGAUGGCGGCACCCGAGGAACACGAUUCUCCGACCGAAACGUCCCAGCCGAUUGUGGAAAAGGAGGAAACUAAAACAUUUAAAGACCUGGGUGUGACAGAUGUGUUGUGUGAAGCUUGUGACCAGUUGGGAUGGACAAAACCCACCAAGAUCCAGAUUGAAGCUAUUCCUUUGGCCUUACAAGCUGUGAUUGUAGGUGGAAUUGAUUCAAUGUCUCAAUCUUUGGCCCUUGCAAAAAAACCACAUAUAAUAAUAGCAACUCCUGGUCGACUGAUUGACCACUUGGAAAAUACGAAAGGUUUCAACUUGAGAGCUCUCAAAUACUUGGUCAUGGAUGAAGCCGACCGAAUACUGAAUAUGGAUUUUGAGACAGAGGUUGACAAGAUCCUCAAAGUGAUUCCUCGAGAUCGGAAAACAUUCCUCUUCUCUGCCACCAUGACCAAGAAGGUUCAAAAACUUCAGCGAGCAGCUCUGAAGAAUCCUGUGAAAUGUGCCGUUUCCUCUAAAUACCAGACAGUUGAAAAAUUACAGCAAUAUUAUAUUUUUAUUCCCUCUAAAUUCAAGGUAAAAUGUUUACUUUGAUCAUUCCUGCCUCUCCCUCUUCUUUUCACCAAAGCAUCUGAAAAUGUGUCAACUCUUGAUUAGGUAAGAGCUGUAAUGCAGAUUGGCAUCCUGUCUCUUUGCUUUAGAGUGCAUAUCGUGCUUAUAUUAUCACCGAUAAGCCAGACAUGCCAGGAAUUCACAACACAUUAAACCACAAUACUGAGGUCAUGAUGUACUCAUAUAAUUCCUUCCCAUCCCCAUCCUUGAGGUAAUUUUUCCUUUGUCUGCUUAUUAUGUGGCUUUUAUUUAGGAUGAAGCCCCUGGUUUUGUGCUUUGAUAUAAGGACUUCUCCUGUUUGCUGAGUACAGAUCUCCUGCCUGCCUUUAGGCUAAGUGGGGAAUAUGUGGUUCACAGAGAUGAUAAUGCUGGUUAAGGAAUGCAAAGCUGGCAGCUGGAGGUCUGGAUAAUUGAAAAGCGACUAUAGGCUUAGUCUUUACCUUAUGUAUAUGCCAGGGCUCCAAUCCUGUCUCCCAGGUUCAAUGACAUAUAUUGUUUUGGGUUUGUAACUUAGGAUACCUACCUGGUUUAUAUUCUAAAUGAAUUGGCUGGAAACUCCUUUAUGAUAUUCUGCAGCACCUGUAAUAAUACCCAGAGAACAGCUUUGCUACUGCGAAAUCUUGGCUUCACUGCCAUCCCCCUCCAUGGACAAAUGAGUCAGGUAAGGAUUCAUCAUCAUCAUCAGCCACGCACUGGUGGCGUGAGCGAGGUAAACCUCCUAACAGUAGGUUUGUACAAUAAGGCCAUAGGGCACCGAUGCCUGUUUCCAUAAUUGUUGUAAUUUUAUGGGCUUUGAAGUGUUGCUCUAGAUACUUACUUUCUCCUUUCAGGGUAGCGAGAGGCUCCCAUUAGAAUAUUUCAUAUGUACCUGUCUGGUUUGCAAGCUGUUGAGUUGAUUUAUUCAGCCCUAGUGGUAAUAAUGACUCUGGCCUCUAAAAACAUUAAUAAAUUAUUUCCCAGUUACCUUUCUAUCGUGUCAAACUACCCUUAUUUUGUAUUAUAUAUAUAUUUUUAAUUUUUUGUUGCUUCCGUAUUUCUGUUUUGACCUGUGAAGCCCCAUUCAAAACUUAGGGGGAAAAACCUUUAAAAAAUUUAUGUCUGUUUGUUCUCGUGUUUGUCUAUUUUGUGUUUUGUAUUCCAAAACAUAGGUUAAGUUUUCCAACAUUUCUUUUUCAUUACCUCAGAGUAAGCGCCUAGGAUCCCUUAAUAAGUUUAAGGCCAAGGCCCGUUCCAUUCUUCUAGCAACUGACGUUGCCAGCCGAGGUUUGGACAUACCUCAUGUAGAUGUGGUUGUCAACUUUGACAUUCCUACCCAUUCCAAGGAUUACAUCCAUCGAGUAGGUCGAACAGCUAGAGCUGGGCGCUCCGGAAAGGCUAUUACUUUUGUCACACAGUAUGAUGUGGAACUCUUCCAGCGCAUAGAACACUUAAUUGGGAAGAAACUACCAGGUUUUCCAACACAGGAUGAUGAGGUUAUGAUGCUGACAGAACGCGUCGCUGAAGCCCAAAGGUUUGCCCGAAUGGAGUUAAGGGAGCAUGGAGAAAAGAAGAAACGCUCGCGAGAGGAUGCUGGAGAUAAUGAUGACACAGAGGGUGCUAUUGGUGUCAGGAACAAGGUGGCUGGAGGAAAAAUGAAGAAGCGGAAAGGCCGUUAAUCACUUUUGUGAAGGCUCGAGUUCUGCUGUUCUGUAAAAGAGAAUUGGAGAAUCAAACCUGCUCCAACAGAGAUCAUGAGACUGAAAUCGGUCAGAAUUGUGUCCAGAAUGUGCUCAGCUAAUUCAGUAUUCUUCCCCAUUCUGGGUUGGAGUUUACUGCAGAAUAAUUCUUACAGUGCUGAUGUCAAGACUGUUACUGUUCUUCGACUUUGAUUCCUUGCUCAUGACAUGAGUAGGGUGUGCUCUUCUGUCACUUCACACAGACCUUUUGCCUUUUUUAGCUGCAAGUCAAGGACUAGGUUGAUGAUGCCCAUGACCUGUAAUUGUAAAGAAGCUUGGACAUCUGCAAAUGAUAUUUAAGCCAUCUUGGCUUGUGCUUUAUUCAAACUAAUGUGAAACAAUAAAUUUAAAUGUUAUUUUUAAAAGA
Molecule: small RNA, 2689 nt
Filed under: Pan troglodytes (chimpanzee)
Lineage: Eukaryota; Metazoa; Chordata; Mammalia; Primates; Hominidae
Description: retained intron
Source: RNAcentral